This 87-nucleotide transfer RNA is filed under the name Pirellulaceae bacterium. RNAcentral describes it as "tRNA-Ser". It matches the Rfam family "tRNA". From Rfam's summary of the family: Transfer RNA (tRNA) molecules are approximately 80 nucleotides in length. Their secondary structure includes four short double-helical elements and three loops (D, anti-codon, and T loops). Lineage: Bacteria; Pseudomonadati; Planctomycetota; Planctomycetia; Pirellulales; Pirellulaceae. The record is from RNAcentral.
GGAUGGGUGCCCGAGUGGCCGAAGGGGGUAGUCUUGAAAACUACUGUACGUUAACGCGUACCCUGGGUUCGAAUCCCAGCCCAUCCG